This 393-nucleotide ribosomal RNA is filed under the name uncultured bacterium. Its description in RNAcentral is "partial 16S ribosomal RNA". It matches the Rfam family "Bacterial small subunit ribosomal RNA", at positions 523 to 918 of the family's 1533-position model. The record is from RNAcentral.
AUACGGAGGAUGCAAGCGUUAUCCGGAUUUAUUGGGUUUAAAGGGUGCGUAGGCGGUUUGCUAAGCGGGAGGUGAAAUGCCGGCGCUCAACGGCGGAAGGGCUUCCCGAAAUGGAGGACUGGAAUGAAUCAGCCGUGGGAGGAAUGUCUAGUGGAGCGGUGAAAUGCUUAGAGAUUACACAGAACACCGAUUGCGAAGGCAUCUCACGAAGGGUUGAUUGACGCUGAGGCACGAAAGCGUGGGGAUCAAACAGGAUUAGAUACCCUGGUAGUCCACGCAGUAAACGAUGAUGGCUAACCGCUGGUUUAUUCGGAUCAGUGGCCAAGCGAAAGCGAUAAGCCAUCCACCUGGGGAGUACGACCGCAAGGUUGAAACUCAAAUGAAUUGACGGGG